UUAUUUAUAUGCCACAAGGUUUUUCAGUGCCGUGUUACUUCGAUUUAGGAUUGAUGCGUUGUGCUGUUCUCUAGACUAGUAUUUGCAUUAUGUUUGCGCUAUUUGGAAAAUCUAAAGCAUGCUUGUAGGCAGUGUUAUCACAUAUCAGCCAUGGCGGAUUUCGGUAGCGGAAUUCCAGACCACCGCCACAACAAGGCGGUGGCGAAUCGGAUUUCGCAUGGUGGCCCAUGGCGGCCGCUAUUGGCAUGGCGGAGCGGUAACGGAUAUCGGAGAUAUCCAAAAUAUCGGUAGGCAGCGGAGCUUGAAGGAGUAGAUGAAGAAGAAGGGCUGUUGCGGCGGCUGAUGAAGAAGAAGGGCUGCUGCGGCGGCUGAUGAAGAAGGCGGCUCGGAGUUGAUGAAGAAGGCGGCUGAUGAAGAAGAAGGGUGCAAAACCCUAACCCUAAUUUCUAAAAUAAAAAGAUUUGGGCCUAUGGCCCAUUUCAGAUUUAAAAUAAUAAAAAACUUAAAAUUUAAAUUAAAAAUACUAAAUAUUUAAAACUGACGUGUGGUGUGUGGUGGGGCUGCAACCCUAAUUUAAACACCUUAUUAGUGGGUUUUUCAAUCUUAAAAUUUUCAAAACUGAUGUGUGGCUUUUGGGCCUAUUUUGGCCCAAUUAAGAGACAUAUUACCCUAAGGCAAUUGCUUCCUGCACCAUAUCACUGCACCCAUCUCAGCGAAAAGACGAAACUGUCCUUAAAAAAAUUUUCCGAAAUAUGUGUUCUGAUUUUUUUUUCCGGAACAAAAUUUUAUAUUAAGGAUUUUUUUAUCUGGAAUGAGUUUUUCAUUUUUGUUUCCGGAUUUUCAUUUCCGAAACACAAUAAUUACUUUUCUGGAUUUUUUUUUCUGUGUUAUUUUUCAAUUCCGGAUUUUUUUAUUCAAAAUAGAAUUUUAAUUUUUGUUUCCAGAUUUUUAUUUCCGGAACUCAAUAAUCAUUUCCAGAUUUAUUUUUCUGAAAUAUAUUUUGAGGAAAGAGAUGGUAGAAAAACUGGUUUGGGCUUUCGCCGGCGGUGGUGACGAAUGAUUGAAUGAAUGAGCUUUUCAUAAGCAUAUCCGAAAAGGGCAAUUUCUCCCUCCAUCAUAUCAAUUUCAACAUGCACCCAAUCAGCUCUAGAAAAUGACAAAAAUACCCCUCUUAAAUGACUUAAAUAAUCUUACACAAAAAUGGAAAAAUUAUUUUUGAAACUUUUAUCUGAAAUAUUUUGGAUUUCAAUUUUCGGAAAUUUUUUAUCCAAAAUGUAUUUUAGUUUUGUGAUCAGAUUUUUUUUUCCAGCAUGUAUUUUUUUAUUUCUCAAUUAUAAUUAUUGUUUUGGAUUUUUUAAUUUGAAAUAAGGGUAGUUUUGGAAAUUUAAAAAAUUGAUAUGGUGCAGGAGGGUAGUUUUGAAAAUUUAGAAAAUUGAUAUGUUGGAGGUUAAAAUUGAUAUGGUGCAGGAGGGUAGUUUUGGAAAUUUAAAAAAUUAAUAUGGUGGAGGUUAAAAUUGAUAUGGUGCAGGAGGGUAGUUUUGGAAAUUUAAAAAGUUGAUAUGGUGGAGGUUAAAAUUGAUAUGGUGCAGGAAGAAUUUGCCUCCGAAAAGGGCGAAACCGGUUUAUGAAGGCCCAAAAGAAACAUUACUGGUCCCCAACCCUUUGCCGCCAUUGCCACAGCUCAUUCAUUCAAUCAUUCGUCGCCACCGCCGGCGAAAGCCCAAACCAGUUUUUCUACCAUCACUUUCCUCCGCAGGUGCGUUUAUUCUUUGGCGCACUCCUUUCUAAAGGGUCGUUGUCAAUUUUUUAUAUUUUUGUGAUUAUGGUUAUUGGGUGUGUCAAAUUUUGAAGCAAAAAAUGGGGAAGAAGAGAAAGCACGGUGAGAGUAGUGAACUUGUUGCACAGCCCAAAAAGGAAGAUACUGCUCCAGAGAGACCAACGAGGACCCUUUUGGGUUGGAAGGAUAAGAGUCUAGUCACUGAUGAAGUCGACGACAGCAACGUUGGUUCACCAAUAUUCAGGAACAAAGAGAAGGUUUUGGUCACUUGCUCUAGGCGCAUCAGUUACAGGUACAAUCUAAUACAAACCCCAUGACUUGUAGUUAUAGAUUUUGUGUUUUUCGUUUAUAGUUUGUAUUACUCUAUUUUUGUGUCUUGAUGUGCAAAGUUUAAGAACAGAGAAACCUUGUGCAGUGAGUCAGUUUUUGUAUAUUAUAAUGGUAUUUUUUUUGGGCGGAGUAUUUAUUUUCCAUUAAUUUGUAGGUACCGGCAUUUGAUGUUGAACUUGGUGUCACUUUUGCCGCAUUGCAAGAAGGAUAACAAGGUUGAAUCAAAGGAAACUAAAGGCACCACCCUGAACGAGCUUGUUGAGCUCAAAAGUUGCUCCUCGUGUUUAUUUUUUGAGGUAUUUUAUUUAUAUGCCACAAGGUUUUUCAGUGCCGUGUUACUUCGAUUUAGGAUUGAUGCGUUGUGCUGUUCUCUAGACUAGUAUUUGCAUUAUGUUUGCGCUAUUUGGAAAAUCUAAAGCAUGCUUGUAGGCAGUGUUAUCACAUAUCGGCCAUGGCGUCGCCAUGGCGGAUUUCGGUAGCGGAAUUCCAGACCACCGCCACAACAAGGCGGUGGCGAAUCGGAUUUCGCAUGGCGGACCAUGGCGGCCGCUAUUGGCAUGGCGGAGCGGUAACGGAUAUCGGAGAUAUCCAAAAUAUCGGUAGGCAGCGGAGCUUGAAGGAGUAGAUGAAGAAGAAGGGCUGCUGCGGCGGCUGAUGAAGAAGAAGGGCUGCUGCGGCGGCUGAUGAAGAAGAAGGCUCGGAGUUGAUGAAGAAGGCGGCGGCUGAUGAAGAAGAAGGGUGCAAAACCCUAACCCUAAUUUCUAAAAUUAAAAGAUUUGGGCCUUUGGCCCAUUUCAGAUUUAAAAUAAUAAAAAAUUUAAAAUUUAAAUUAAAAAUACUAAAUAUUUAAAACUGACGUGUGGUGUGUGGUGGGGCUGCAACCCUAAUUUAAACACCUUAUUAGUGGGUUUUUCAAUCUUAAAAUUUUAAAAACUGAUGUGUGGCUUUUGGGCCUAUUUUGGCCCAAUUAAGAGACAUAUUACCCUAAGGCAAAUGCUCCCUGCACCCAACACAAUUUUGAAAAUUCCAAAAAUGCCCUUUAUUCU
RNAcentral lists this long non-coding RNA (3153 nucleotides) under Phaseolus vulgaris (common bean). RNAcentral describes it as "long non-coding RNA (PVUL_LNC005147)". Lineage: Eukaryota; Viridiplantae; Streptophyta; Magnoliopsida; Fabales; Fabaceae. The record is from RNAcentral.